CCUUAGCUACACCCCUGUCAAAAGCAUUAUAAAAGUCACACUUACACGCCUCACCUUACUGCAUACCGAGACACAUCACCAAUUCAAGAGGGGACCCAGAUAUGAAGGAGGAGUGUGGGCCCAGAGGAAUGAAUGUGAGGGCAGCAGAUUAUGGCCGGGGCAGAUUGUAGUCUGUUGAAACAAAUGGACAAAAAAGUCUUCAUCCUCCAGUGAGGUAGGAGAGAAGGGUGUAAACUGACCGGUUAUCGGGCAAUCAUCUGGUAAAUAGGACGAUAAACCCUUUUGUUUCAGAACCAUCCAGUGUCUUGACUCUUUACGUGCAAAUGUAAGAGAUCAGUAGG
Molecule: long non-coding RNA, 341 nt
Organism: Hypomesus transpacificus
Lineage: Eukaryota; Metazoa; Chordata; Actinopteri; Osmeriformes; Osmeridae
Exons: 3
Source: RefSeq, a predicted model, not a curated record